Malurus melanocephalus (red-backed fairy wren) is the source of this 478-nucleotide long non-coding RNA. RefSeq lists it as uncharacterized. The record is from RefSeq and is a predicted model, not a curated record. The transcript has 3 exons. NCBI's taxonomy places the organism in Eukaryota, Metazoa, Chordata, Aves, Passeriformes, Maluridae.
CAGGAAUGCAGCCCAAGCUUUCUGGCUGCAAGCAAUGAUGAGGCUGAUAAGGAAAUGAGGGGAUGCAAGUGCCAGAGUGCCUGGUGCCCCGRGAUGAGAAUAUUGAGAUGAAGUUGUUUCCUGCAGGAAGGCUGGAGCUGAGGGGCUCUCAGGAGCUGCAGUCCUUGGAACUGUGAGGUGUCUGUGGAGGGGUUUCUCACUGGGGUUCCUCCCAUCGAGUUCUGCCCGUGGACCUGGCUUUUUCUGCAGACAGGAGAGGAAGGAGGUGGUGUUUUUGUAAAGGGCUGAGCUGCUGUGGGCCUGAUCUUUGAGAAGCUCCAGUUUCUGGCUGCAUUUCAGGUGACAGUGCUUUCAGGAAAAGAGGAGUUUAAAAGGCAAAUACAUUUCUUUGGAUGGUUUUUGCAAAGCACUUUAGGGCUGUGUGAAUACAGGAAACUUGGGGAAAUUAACUUUUGGACAAGGAACAAGAAUUAUUGUA